CAGCCGCCGCGGGAAAACGGAGGGUGCAAGCGUUAAUCGGAAUUACUGGGCGUAAAGCGCACGCAGGCGGUCUGACAAGUCAGAUGUGAAAUCCCCGGGCUUAACCUGGGAACUGCAUUUGAAACUGUCAGGCUGGAGUCUUGUAGAGGGGGGUGGAAUUCCAGGUGUAGCGGUGAAAUGCGUAGAGAUCUGGAGGAAUACCGGUGGCGAAGGCGGCCCCCUGGACAAAGACUGACGCUCAGGUGCGAAAGCGUGGGGAGCAAACAGGAUUAGAUACCCCUGUAGUCCCUGUCUCUACACC
RNAcentral lists this ribosomal RNA (301 nucleotides) under uncultured bacterium. Its description in RNAcentral is "partial 16S ribosomal RNA". It matches the Rfam family "Bacterial small subunit ribosomal RNA", at positions 509 to 808 of the family's 1533-position model. The record is from RNAcentral.